This 119-nucleotide ribosomal RNA is filed under the name Dasypus novemcinctus (nine-banded armadillo). Lineage: Eukaryota; Metazoa; Chordata; Mammalia; Cingulata; Dasypodidae. The record is from RNAcentral.
GUCUAGGGCCAUACCACCCUGAACUCUCCCCAUCUCGUCUGAUCUUAGAAGCUACGCAGGGUCAGGCCUGGGUAGUACUUGGGUGGGAGACUGUCUGGGAAUACUGAGUGCCGUAGGCU